GGUGAGUUGGCAGAGCGGUCUAUUGCACUGACCUGAAAAAUCGGCGGACUUUCGCGGGUCCCGUGGGUUCGAAUCCCACACUCACCGCCA
This 90-nucleotide transfer RNA is filed under the name Ensifer meliloti. RNAcentral's name for it is "Sinorhizobium meliloti tRNA-Phe". It matches the Rfam family "tRNA". From Rfam's summary of the family: Transfer RNA (tRNA) molecules are approximately 80 nucleotides in length. Their secondary structure includes four short double-helical elements and three loops (D, anti-codon, and T loops). Lineage: Bacteria; Pseudomonadati; Pseudomonadota; Alphaproteobacteria; Hyphomicrobiales; Rhizobiaceae. The record is from RNAcentral.